AACGCGAAGAACCUUACCUGGGCUCGAACGGCUUCUCAACGACGGUGGAAACAUCGUUAUCCCGCAAGGGAGUGGAGUCGAGGUGCUGCAUGGCUGUCGUCAGCUCGUGUCGUGAGAUGUUGGGUUAAGUCCCGCAACGAGCGCAACCCUCGUCCUGUGUUGCUAUCCCGCAAGGGAGCACUCGCAGGAGACCGCCAGCGAUAAGCUGGAGGAAGGUGGGGAUGACGUCAAGUCCUCAUGGCCUUUAUGUCCAGGGCUACACACGUGCUACAAUGGCCGGUACAAAGCGUUCCCAAGCCGCGAGGUGGAGGCAAUCGCAAAAAACCGGUCUCAGUUCGGAUUGCAGGCUGCAACUCGCCUGCAUGAAGCUGGAAUCGCUAGUAAUGGCAGAUCAGCACGCUGCCGUGAAUACGUUCCCGGGCCUUGUA
Molecule: ribosomal RNA, 428 nt
Filed under: uncultured Acidobacterium sp.
Lineage: Bacteria; Pseudomonadati; Acidobacteriota; Terriglobia; Terriglobales; Acidobacteriaceae
Description: bacterial SSU rRNA
Rfam family: Bacterial small subunit ribosomal RNA
Source: RNAcentral